RNAcentral lists this unclassified non-coding RNA (348 nucleotides) under soil metagenome. RNAcentral describes it as "partial contains 5.8S ribosomal RNA, internal transcribed spacer 2, and large subunit ribosomal RNA". The stretch from base 1 to 120 matches the Rfam family "5.8S ribosomal RNA", at positions 35 to 154 of the family's 154-position model. The record is from RNAcentral.
GAUGAAGAACGUAGCGAAAUGCGAUAAGUAAUGUGAAUUGCAGAAUUCAGUGAAUCAUCGAAUCUUUGAACGCACAUUGCGCCCGCCAGUAUUCUGGCGGGCAUGCCUGUCUGAGCGUCAUUUCAACCCUCAUGCCCCUAGGGCGUGGUGUUGGGGAUCGGCCAAAGCCCGCGAGGGACGGCCGGCCCCUAAAUCUAGUGGCGGACCCGUCGUGGCCUCCUCUGCGAAGUAGUGAUAUUCCGCAUCGGAGAGCGAUGAGCCCCUGCCGUUAAACCCCCAACUUUCCAAGGUUGACCUCAGAACAGGUAGGAAUACCCGCUGAACUUAAGCAUAUCAAUAAGCGGAGGA